AGCUGACGUGUAUUUUAACCUUGUGCUUUGAGUUUGGUAAGGAGUCAAGCAAGCAUGCUGGUGCAGAUACUUGUUACGGUUUGACAGAGCAAGGCUGUUCUGGAUAGAAGAUAUGACACACUUCUGAGGAAGACUGUUUUCGAAACUGGCCAAGAUAACCUAGGACGCCUGUUAAGGGAUUUAUACAUCUCACACUUGUGAAGAAUGAAGAUUUUUGCCAUCUCCCGCUUUGAAGUAUUUUUCAUGUUGUGUACUCUAGCUGUGAAGAUUGGACUUUGAACCUUCAUAUUUGCCAGUUGUUCCAUCUUUGCUAUCAUUGUAUAUGCUGGUUUCAUGAAUGGUUUGGGACUUGUCAUAUACCUUGUGUAUUUACAUAUAUGUUUGUGUCAUAUACAUGGACCUUCUAGAGACUGUUUCACAGA
Hemicordylus capensis (graceful crag lizard) is the source of this 422-nucleotide long non-coding RNA. RefSeq lists it as uncharacterized. The record is from RefSeq and is a predicted model, not a curated record. Lineage: Eukaryota; Metazoa; Chordata; Lepidosauria; Squamata; Cordylidae. The transcript is spliced from 2 exons.